GACGAACGCUGGCGGCGUGCUUAACACAUGCAAGUCGAACGGAAAGGCCCUGCUUUUGUGGGGUGCUCGAGUGGCGAACGGGUGGGUAACACGUGAGUAACCUGCCCUUGACUUUGGGAUAACUUCAGGAAACUGGGGCUAAUACCGGAUAGGAGCUCCUGCUGCAUGGUGGGGGUUGGAAAGUUUCGGCGGUUGGGGAUGGACUCGCGGCUUAUCAGCUUGUUGGUGGGGUAGUGGCUUACCAAGGCUUUGACGGGUAGCCGGCCUGAGAGGGUGACCGGCCACAUUGGGACUGAGAUACGGCCCAGACUCCUACGGGAGGCAGCAGUGGGGAAUAUUGCACAAUGGGCGGAAGCCUGAUGCAGCAACGCCGCGUGCGGGAUGACGGCCUUCGGGUUGUAAACCGCUUUCGCCUGUGACGAAGCGUGAGUGACGGUAAUGGGUAAGGAAGCACCGGCUAACUACGUG
Molecule: ribosomal RNA, 468 nt
Filed under: uncultured bacterium
Lineage: Bacteria
Description: partial 16S ribosomal RNA
Rfam family: Bacterial small subunit ribosomal RNA
Source: RNAcentral